This 253-nucleotide ribosomal RNA is filed under the name uncultured bacterium. RNAcentral describes it as "partial 16S ribosomal RNA". It matches the Rfam family "Bacterial small subunit ribosomal RNA", at positions 524 to 776 of the family's 1533-position model. The record is from RNAcentral.
UACGUAGGGUGCAAGCAUUAAUCGGAUUUAUUGGGCGUAAAGGGCGCGUAGGCGGGAUGAUAAGUCAGAUGUGAAAGCCCGGGGCUCAACCCCGGAACUGCAUUUGAAACUAUCAUUCUAGAGGGUAGGCGGAGAAAAUGGAAUUCCACAAGUAGCGGUGAAAUGCGUAGAUAUGUGGAAGAACACCAGUGGCGAAGGCGGUUUUCUAGCUUAUACCUGACGCUGAGGCGCGAAAGCAAGGGGAGCAAACAGG